RNAcentral lists this transfer RNA (75 nucleotides) under Bacteroidales bacterium. RNAcentral describes it as "tRNA-Val". Lineage: Bacteria; Pseudomonadati; Bacteroidota; Bacteroidia; Bacteroidales. The record is from RNAcentral.
GAUUCGUUAGCUCAGUUGGUUCAGAGCACUUGCUUGACAGGCAAGGGGUCGGUGGUUCGAGCCCACUACGAAUCA